Molecule: microRNA precursor, 95 nt
Filed under: Canis lupus familiaris (dog)
Lineage: Eukaryota; Metazoa; Chordata; Mammalia; Carnivora; Canidae
Description: mir-8799 microRNA precursor family
Rfam family: mir-8799 microRNA precursor family
Source: Rfam by way of RNAcentral
AGGGGGAGUGUGGGAUCUUGGGCUGUGUCCCUUAGUGCCCUGGGCUCUGGGGCCUAAGCCACUGGAAUCGCGCUCCCAGGGCCACACAGCCCCCU